GCCUUGGUAGCAUAGUGGAAAUGCGCCACCUUGGUAAGGUGGAGAGCGCGGGUUCGAGUCCCGCCCAGGGCU
Molecule: transfer RNA, 72 nt
Filed under: Candidatus Methanophagaceae archaeon ex4572_4
Lineage: Archaea; Methanobacteriati; Methanobacteriota; Methanomicrobia; Candidatus Methanophagales; Candidatus Methanophagaceae
Also listed under: 4 other names
Description: ANME-1 cluster archaeon ex4572_4 tRNA-Thr
Rfam family: tRNA
About the family: Transfer RNA (tRNA) molecules are approximately 80 nucleotides in length. Their secondary structure includes four short double-helical elements and three loops (D, anti-codon, and T loops). Further hydrogen bonds mediate the characteristic L-shaped molecular structure. tRNAs have two regions of fundamental functional importance: the anti-codon, which is responsible for specific mRNA codon recognition, and the 3' end, to which the tRNAs corresponding amino acid is attached (by aminoacyl-tRNA synthetases). tRNAs cope with the degeneracy of the genetic code in two manners: having more than one tRNA (with a specific anti-codon) for a particular amino acid; and 'wobble' base-pairing, i.e. permitting non-standard base-pairing at the 3rd anti-codon position.
Source: RNAcentral